AUUGAACGCUGGCGGUAUGCUUAACACAUGCAAGUCGAACGGUAACAGGCCUUCGAGCGCUGACGAGUGGCGGACGGGUGAGUAACGCGUAGGAAUCUGCCUCAUAGUGGGGGACAACGUGUGGAAACGCACGCUAAUACCGCAUACGCCCUACGGGGGAAAGCGGGGGACCUUCGGGCCUCGCGCUAUGAGAUGAGCCUGCGUUAGAGUAGCUAGUUGGUAGGGUAAAGGCCUACCAAGGCGACGAUCUAUAGCUGGUCUGAGAGGACGAUCAGCCACACUGGGACUGAGACACGGCCCAGACUCCUGCGGGAGGCAGCAGUGGGGAAUAUUGGACAAUGGGCGCAAGCCUGAUCCAGCAAUACCGCGUGUGUGAAGAAGGCCCUAGGGUUGUAAAGCACUUUCAAUAGGGAGGAAAACCUGUCGGUCAAUACCCGGCAGCUUGACAUUACCUAUACAAGAAGCACCGGCUAACUCCGUGCCAGCAGCCGCAGUAA
This 497-nucleotide ribosomal RNA is filed under the name uncultured bacterium. RNAcentral describes it as "partial 16S ribosomal RNA". It matches the Rfam family "Bacterial small subunit ribosomal RNA", at positions 30 to 523 of the family's 1533-position model. The record is from RNAcentral.